GAGGUGUGCGUAGGCUUCACGUGGCCCCAGCUCACCGCUCCCGGACUGUCACCUGAGGGUGGCGGUUGCUGCGGUGGCGGCUGCCGGGCCCCGCCCGCACCCCGGCCGCCGGGAUGCUCGUUCCAGCAGCGGUCUCCGAAGCGGCACCGGCCUUGAAGGAAAAACUGGCAAAUGGUCAUGGUAGCGCCGUCCCAGCUCGACCCUAACCGCCGUCAGCCCGGAAGCCCCAGGCUCCAGCCACGGUGGUGCGGCCGUAUGACGUCACCAACCCGCGCCACCGCGGGCCGGCCGGCCCCGUGACGCCAUCACCCUGCGCCCGGAGAAUCUCCAUAGACACAAAUCUCUGGACUUCGAGGUGUUAGAUUUAGGAUCCCCAUAGAUACACACCUCUGGGCAUGUCUACGAAGAUACUUUCAGAAAGGUUGAAGUGGAAAGAUGUACCUAAUGUGGACUGCGCUCUCAAAGGACUGGGCAAACACUGAAUAAAAAGGCAAAUUCAAGUUGAGCACCCACUGCUGUUGUCAGACUGCAAAUCCAAUGUGAGCAGCUGUCUCAUGUUCCUGUUGAAAUCCCUUCUAAGUUGUGAUAGACUGUACCCGUAAUCUGUGAACCAGAAUCAACACAUACUCCAGAGUUGCUUUUGCCAGGUUUUGUCAUAGUAAUAGGAAAUGUACACACACAUUCUAGAUAGCUCUGUAUGUAGGUGUAACCCAACCUGGUCUCAAAGUUAGUCAUCCUCCCGCCCCAGAACUGCCACUAUUUUGAAUCUUCAUACCCCCCACUACAAAUUGAGUUAUAUUAAAAAGGAGUAAAACUAGUAAGAUCAAAGUGAAAUCUUAAAAAUCUCUGGAGGAAACUUAAAGGAUUCAAAAGGAUCAAUCAGGGUUUAAUGCUGCAACCCAGGAAAUGCCCUUUCAUAUUAUCAGUUUACUGAAGUUUAGCGAGAACUGGUUUGGUGCCACAUUGAAUGGAAUAAAUUGGAUUUUACCUAAUGCAAACAAGUCAAAAAAGAAUAUACACUUAGUUGAGUAACUUUAUUAAAUGGCACAUUUUUAUAUU
Molecule: long non-coding RNA, 1059 nt
Organism: Mastomys coucha (southern multimammate mouse)
Lineage: Eukaryota; Metazoa; Chordata; Mammalia; Rodentia; Muridae
Exons: 2
Source: RefSeq, a predicted model, not a curated record